Long non-coding RNA from Antechinus flavipes (yellow-footed antechinus), 554 nucleotides. RefSeq lists it as uncharacterized. NCBI's taxonomy places the organism in Eukaryota, Metazoa, Chordata, Mammalia, Dasyuromorphia, Dasyuridae. The record is from RefSeq and is a predicted model, not a curated record. The transcript is spliced from 3 exons.
AACAAUAUUAUCAGGAAAUGGAAUCAAAGGUUGCUUUUCUCGAACCCUUUCAAUUACUUGCUCUUUCUGCCAGUGUUCAAUACCGAUCUUAAUACUUCAAGAACAAAACUUUUGCAUUUUACAGGCCUCUUACAAGCGCAGAAUCUUUUAACACAACUACCUCAGCAAAGCCAAGCCAACCUCCUGCAGUCUCAGCCAAGCAUCACCCUCACCUCACAGCCAGCAACCCCAACACGCACAAUAGCAGCAACCCCAAUUCAGACACUCCCACAGAGCCAGUCAACACCAAAGCGAAUUGAUACACCCAGCUUGGAGGAGCCCAGUGACCUUGAGGAGCUUGAGCAGUUUGCCAAGACUUUCAAACAAAGACGGAUCAAACUUGGAUUCACUCAGGGUGAUGUUGGGCUCGCUAUGGGCAAACUCUAUGGAAAUGACUUCAGCCAAACUACCAUCUCUCGCUUUGAAGCCUUGAACCUCAGCUUUAAGAACAUGUGCAAAUUAAAACCACUUCUAGAGAAGUGGCUAAAUGACGCAGGUGGGUAACUACAUCACAG